CUCAAUAACCAUAAGAAAUAUAAUUUAAAAAGCAAUACCAUUUUAUACUCAAAUAUUGGUAAUCAUUAGAAAGUUGGAUAAUACCAAGUGCUGGUAAGAUGGCGAGGAAACAGGAACCCUCAUACCCUAUUGGUGGAAGUACAAACUGGUUACAGGUGUUCUUCUGGAAGCCAGCCCAACAGUGCUUAGUGAAACCAAGUGAGUGUGUAUCUUGCAAGUCAGCAGUCCAAAUCCUGGGUAUGCAGGCCCACAAAUUGCCUGCAAAGAUCCAUGAAGGCACACACACAUAGAUGUCCACCAUCACCUGAUUUGUGGUAGCCAGGAGGGGGAGACAACCCAGGCAUCCGUCACCAGGCAGGUGGACUAACGGAGAGGGGGCAGGUGUGGGCUGUGACACAGUGGUCCUAUGUAGAAGGGUUAUCUGGCAUCAGGGGCCCAGCUUCCGAACACAGGACCGGGACGAAAAGGUUAGGAGUAGGGUACAUUUCUGCCAGUCCCAUCAACAUAAAUUAAAAUCCCAUACGCUCACCACAGCACUGUCUUCUCAAAGGGCACACAUCUGCAUCAAAGAAUGCAUGUUCAACCAGUCUGAAUGCAGUUGUCAGUGGAGAAAGGAUGAAAUGGAUGUCUGGAAAGAGGGGUGCUGGAAACAAGAUGGUGGCCACAUGCGAAUGAUGCCACAGAUGAUCUUCUCGACGUUCCACCCGAAACUGUGAAAUAAAAUAAAAUGACAAACAUUUCACCAGAGGUGCAAAAGGAUUUGACUGCAUCAGGAAAACAGUCUCUGUCCUCUGGGGAAGGCUCCCUGCCCCACGUCCCUCCUGAGGACCCCACUUUUCUCAAAGAGGCGUUUUCCUGGGGGCCUCACGGCGUGCCCGGCCUGUGUGAGGCUCCUGUGAGCCUGCGUGAAAGGUGCAGGAUAAGCUGAAACCCACUCUUUCUCCUGAGGGGGCGGCCCGCUUCCCCGGUCGGGCCGGGAGGCACCUUGGCCUGGCGGGCAGCUUGCGAAACACAGCGGGGUCUCUGUGCGGCCCUGAGGUAACCCGACAGGAGCGAGGCCGCUCCUCCUGGGCCGCAGAGAAUGGGCUUCUCUGUGUGCGCUUGUUUGCUUUGGUUUCGAGCUAAAAAAAAAAUGAUUUCACACAUAAUUAGGGCUGUGGCAGUGAGAUUGUGUUCGAGGUGCUUUUACUGGAAAUAUCAAGAGGAGGGACAAGGGAGGGCUGUGUUCCUCUUCCAGCCGGGGCUUGGAAGGAGGAGGAGGAGCCCAGCAGCUCCGGGGAUGAGACAACAGGCAGUGUUCGGGGCAGAGAAGCAGCUUUCACGGAGGCAGGCCCAGCUGUGAGGGGCCGAGGUUGGCCGUGGAGGCCCAAACAGUGCCCGGUGCCUCCCUGCUGCCCGUGACCUUGUUCCUUCCCUGACAUGUGGCCCCCACGCGGACCCAUAGAGCAUCUCAGGCUAUAAAGUUGAAGGAUGGAUGGAGUACACUGGGAGCCUCAGUCCCUGAACACGGACCUAGAUUUUCUGGACCUGAGGGCCCUUGGCAGAGAGAGCCCGCAUCUUGAGCAUGUCUGGACACGAGGGGUGAGAGAAGAGACACAAGAGAGGUGCCCUCUGUCUCCACCACAAGAAGAUGGCUGUCUGCAAACCAGGAGGAGCCUUCACCAGAUGUCAGACCUGGUGGCACCU
Herpailurus yagouaroundi (jaguarundi) is the source of this 1686-nucleotide long non-coding RNA. RefSeq lists it as uncharacterized. Lineage: Eukaryota; Metazoa; Chordata; Mammalia; Carnivora; Felidae. The record is from RefSeq and is a predicted model, not a curated record. The transcript has 4 exons.